This 253-nucleotide ribosomal RNA is filed under the name uncultured bacterium. RNAcentral describes it as "partial 16S ribosomal RNA". It matches the Rfam family "Bacterial small subunit ribosomal RNA", at positions 524 to 776 of the family's 1533-position model. The record is from RNAcentral.
UACAGAGGGGGCAAGCGUUGUUCGGAAUUACUGGGCGUAAAGGGCGCGUAGGCGGCCUGCUAAGUCGAACGUGAAAUCCCUGGGCUCAACCCAGGAACUGCGUCCGAGACUGGUUGGCUUGAAUCCGGGAGAGGGAUGUGGAAUUCCAGGUGUAGCGGUGAAAUGCGUAGAUAUCUGGAGGAACACCGGUGGCGAAGGCGGGUCUCUGGGCCGAUACUGACGCUGAGGUGCGAAAGCGUGGGGAGCAAACAGG